CAUUCAUUGCACAUUUUCCCUUAAAUCCGACCUUCGAAAGUGUAAUACCUCGCACUUGCUCAGAUGAAACUCCAUCUGCCAUUUCUCUGCCCAUUGCUGUAGCUGAUCGACACCCCACUGUAUCUUCUGCUAACGUUUCCCACUAUCCGCAACUAUACAAAUUUAGGCGUCAUUUGCAAGCUCGCUAAUCAACCUGUCUACAUUUAUGUUCAAGUCCUUUAUCAAAUCACAACCAGAUGUCCCAGCACAGAUCUUUGCAUAACUCCACUGCUUACAAUCCUACAGCCAGAAUAAUUCUUCCACCACAACCCUCUCUUCUAUGAGUAAGGCAGCUCUAAAUCUAAACGACCAAGUCAUCAUGGAUACGCGCACCUUAUACUUCCAGAUCCAGCCUACCUUGAAGGACUUCAUCAAAUGCCUUACAAAAACCUACA
Long non-coding RNA from Amblyraja radiata (thorny skate), 434 nucleotides. RefSeq lists it as uncharacterized. NCBI's taxonomy places the organism in Eukaryota, Metazoa, Chordata, Chondrichthyes, Rajiformes, Rajidae. The transcript has 2 exons. The record is from RefSeq and is a predicted model, not a curated record.